Molecule: ribosomal RNA, 506 nt
Filed under: uncultured bacterium
Lineage: Bacteria
Description: partial 16S ribosomal RNA
Rfam family: Bacterial small subunit ribosomal RNA
Source: RNAcentral
AUUGAACGCUGGCGGCAUGCCUUACACAUGCAAGUCGAGCGGCAGCGGAAAGUAGCUUGCUACUUUGCCGGCGAGCGGCGGACGGGUGAGUAAUGUCUGGGAAACUGCCUGAUGGAGGGGGAUAACUACUGGAAACGGUAGCUAAUACCGCAUAACGUCGCAAGACCAAAGAGGGGGACCUUCGGGCCUCUUGCCAUCAGAUGUGCCCAGAUGGGAUUAGCUAGUAGGUGGGGUAACGGCUCACCUAGGCGACGAUCCCUAGCUGGUCUGAGAGGAUGACCAGCCACACUGGAACUGAGACACGGGCCAGACUCCUACGGGAGGCAGCAGUGGGGAAUAUUGCACAAGGGGCGCAAGCCUGAUGCAGCCAUGCCGCGUGUAUGAAGAAGGCCUUCGGGUUGUAAAGUACUUUCAGCGGGGAGGAAGGUGUUGAGGUUAAUAACCUCAGCAAUUGACGUUACCCGCAGAAGAAGCACCGGCUAACUCCGUGCCAGCCGCCGCCGUAA